CAGGUGGAGGACAGAGAUUGGCCUGGGAUAAAGGAACCAAAGAAGACAAUAGGCUGAAAGAAUCAGAGAAAGGUAAUGCAUGUCUCCACCGUGCUUUCUAGAAUUUCUUUUGCAAAAUAUUGAAAGUAUUUAUUUCUUGUAAGGAUAUAUAUCCUAUUACACCUUGAAGUUUCCUUUAUGGAGUAAUCAAAAGCUUCUCAGAAGAAACAGAGGCAAGGCUAACCAAAAGAGACUACAAUAGGGAGCUCAUUUAAAAAUACUAAACCGGGGGCGCCUGGGUGGCGCAGUCGGUUAAGCGUCCGACUUCAGCCAGGUCACGAUCUCGCGGUCCGCGAGUUCGAGCCCCGCGUCAGGCUCUGGGCUGAUGGCUCAGAGCCUGGAGCCUGUUUCCAAUUCUGUGUCUCCCUCUCUCUCUGCCCCUCCCCCGUUCAUGCUCUGUCUCUCUCUGUCCCAAAAAUAAAUAAACGUUGAAAAAAAAUAAAAAUAAAAAUACUAAACCGUAUUGGGAGAGAAAAUCAACACUUCAUCCCCAGAUGCUAAAAACACAUGACAAGUUAUGACCAACAAUACAGUACCAGGAACAGAAGGAAGGAAAACAGUGUUAGGAGGCCCAAUAUGCUUAUUGACAUUUCUAUGGCUCACUCUAAAGGAAAGAGGAUGAGGUAAAAUACAACGAACGUGUUUCCAGCGUGCAAUCACAAAGUAGCACGAGCCCAGGGAAACUUCUUACAUGUCACUUAAUUCUGCAUAUUAAAUUAAUCAUGAAAUAGUAGCUACUUCCUGGCAACGAUAACUAUUGGUCACGAGCUGUCCUGUUGUUACCUCAAAUAAUUUUCAGUACAUUUCACAAGGUGAUUACUAUUUCAUGCCUUCCCACCGUCAUCUGCAGAUUGGAAAAUAGAGACGCCGAGAGGCAAAUCACCAAGUGUACUGAGUCUAAUGCAUUAUUUGUUUGCUCUUUAUUUAUUAUCAUUUCUUCCCCUUGGAAUCAAAGAUUUGCCUGGAUUUAAUAAUUAACCAUAGAAGACUGCACUUUUUCUUCUAAAAAAAUAUUUCUAAAUUUAUUUUUGAGACAGAGACAGAGCAUGAGUGGGGGAGGGGCAGAGAGAGAGGGAGACACAGAAUCCGAAGCAGGCUCCAGGCUCUGAGCUGUCAGCGCAGAGCCCGACACAGGGCUCGAACUCACAGACUGUGAGAUCAUGACCUGAGCUGAAGUCGGAUGCUUAACCGACUAGCCACCCAGGCACCCCUGUACUUUUUCUCUUAAUGAACAAAUCGUAAAGGCAAAAAUUGAAAAAAAAAAUCUAUUUCUAUCUCCUUGGUUUCAACUAAGUAAAAACUGAGGGACUUCUAUGGCCCACACUAAAUUCUUCUUAUAGCCAGAAAAUCAUAAAAAUAAAAUUCUCAGUGGAAAGAAGCAGGUUUCUAAAUUAAUAAUAGAAGUAGUUAUAAUUAUUAUUAAGGGAAUCUUCUUUUAUUAGGAGAAAUGAAACAGCAGUAUUCAAUUAAUAUGUGUGUUACAGAAUUAUUUUAGAAUCCACGUUUAUUUGGAAAAAAGUAUAACGCCUUUAACAAAAAUACUUUUAUUUUGCAGUAAGUAUAAAAAUAAAAAUGUAAAUGAGUAGUUUAUGUAAUUUCUAAUGCUAAAAUAGCAUUGAACUGUAUCUCUGGUGGUAUUGACAAUCUUAAUUAAGAAGUCAUUUAAUGGUAAUGUUAACAAAUCUGGCCAAUUUUUUGAGUCAGACUGACACUACUCAAGACACAAGCCUAACUGGUGUUCCCUCAGUAAGAUGCAGAGUAGAAUCUGUAAAGGAACAUCUGAUGCCAGUGAUAAAAUUAAGGUCAAGGACUUGGCAAAAUAUGUUAUACACUGUAACAGAUGUUCCCAGAUGAAAUCACAUUUCUAUUAAAAACUAUACAGAUGCUCAGUUGAUAGAACCUAGAAUCUCAGAACCGUAGAACCAGAAGGGAUUUUUAGAGACUAGCCAUUCCCAGCAUCUUAAAGUUGAGGACGCUGGGGCUUCUGGGUGGCUCAGUUGGUUGAGCGACCAACUCUUGAUCUCAGCUCAGGUCGUGACCUCACGGCUGGUGAGUUUGAGCCCCGCGUGGAGCUCUGUGCUGACUGUGUAGAGCCUGCUUGGGACUCUCUCUCUCCCUCUCUCUCUGCCCCUCACUCCCUCAUGUGCGCGUGUGCUCUCUCAAAAUAAAUAAACUUAAAAAAAUAAAAUAAAACAAAGUUGAGGAAACUGACACACAAAGCAUUUAAGUGAUGAGCACAAGGUCCCACGGUUGGUUAUGUGUCCAGACUAGCGCUCAAGCCCUUUCUAUGAUUCCAGGUUGUCUGUAACUAUGACAAAUGAAGGGACGUUUUUAAUAUUUUAGUUAAAAACAUAUUUAGGGUGAAUUAUAUUGUGUGGUGAGACUAGAGACAGGAAUAUCAACCCAGACCAUUUUACCUUUUGGAUCUUCCCUGAUUCUUGCUCUUGGAUAUUUACUCUUAUGUUACACAGUAAAUUGUAUUUACCCUUAAAUUACGCUUCUAUUUCCCCCUAGAGUACAAAUCCCAAGGAAUGCUACCAUGUUCCAGGCCUUAGGAAGACGCCAAACUAAUAUUAAAUCUGCAACACAUUUUUUUCAAUUUCAGUAGUACUAUUAAAGAUCAGCAAAUACUAGCACCAUACUAGUGUGUGGGUGGCACCUAAUGCAGAUGAUGGGUAAACACUUUCUCAGUUGUUCUUUCACAAGAUUUAAAUUUUUUUUUUUACAUUUAUUUAUUUUUGAGACAGAGAGGGACAGAGCAUGAAUGGGGGAGGGUCAGAGAGAGAGGGAGACACAGAAUCUGAAACAGGCUCCAGGCUCUGAGCUGUCAGCACAGAGCCCGAUGCGGGGCUCGAACUCACGGACCGUGAGAUCAUGACCUGAGCCGAAGUCAGUCGCCCAACCGACUGAGCCACCCAGGCGCCCCCACAAGAUUUAAUAUUAUCCAGAGUUUGGGUGCUCAGAGUAAACUUCUAUGAAUCGCAAAAGAUGUGGCAACAAAUGGGCAGAUACCUAACACUACCAAAAUAAGAAGCACUGUAGUGAACGUCACAUGCUUUUUCUUUCAUAGGGAAAUGAAGUGGACAGUGACACAACACACGUAGAGAAAAAGCAUGUAAUUCUGAGAUACAUACAACUUCUCACUUGUGAAUUGGUAAGACCUUAUCACAGAGGGGGAAUGUGAGUUCUAUUAUAAUCUCUUUCAUCAUGGCAGGAGGGAUUCCGACCCCAGCUCUUCACGGACCAACUGGGAUAGAUUUUGUAGAGGAGAGACACCAAUAAAAUGAGAACGAGACUAACUUUAAUCCCAAUAACAAAGAUGCAAAACUAAUGAUCUCUUUCCAUUCUAGCCAAUGGCAGAACUGGCUAUUGUGGCCAAUAACCUAGAAUUUAGCAUGGACUCCUUACUUGUACCCAUCCCCCGCCUCAAAAGAAAAAAAAUCAUUCACCUUUAUCAAGACUACAUCUCACUAUCUUAAAUUCACUUCAGUGGUUCUCACAUGUAUGGGUUUCAGAAUCCCCUGGGGAAACUGUAUUGGUACAAAUACAAAGGCCCAUGAACCCUCCUACAUCAAGGGGCCUGGGCCUCUGUGGGCUUUACUAACCAUUCACACGAUUAUGGUAUGCAACAAAUGUGAGAAACACUACUUUAGGGUAUGCUCUUAAUUUUCCUUUCCCAGAUAAUUGCACUCGCUUCUUAAUUGUUUUGCCCGACUCCAGCUUCUUUCUGUACCAAUCCACUCUUCAGCCAGUCAACAAACCUGAAAAAGUUCAAACUUAAAAAAAAAAAAAAUUAAUGGCUGCUAAUCACACUUGAGAGUAAGUCCAGAUUUGUUAUGUACUCAACGCCCUUCAAGAUUUGACUCUUGUAGGGGCGCCUGGGUGGCCCAGUCGGUUGGGCGACCAACUUCGGCUCAGGUCAUGAUCUCGCAGUCCGUGAGUUCGAGCCCUGUGUCGGGCUCUGCGCUGACAGCUCAGAACCUGGAGCCUGCUUUGGUUUCUGUGUCUCCCUCUCUCUCUGCCCCUCCCCUGCUCAUGCUCUGUCUCUCUCUGUCUCAAAAAUAAAUAAUAUCAUUAAAAAAAUUUUUUAAAAAAUAUUUGACUCUUGUAGUCUUCUCCAGCUUGAUUUAUCAUCACUCCCCCUUAGGUGCACAGUGCCUUCCUGGAGUCCAGGUCAUUUACCAUCAUUCACAUACUCAUUCAAAAAUUAUUUAUUGAGCUCUUAGCAUAAGCGCAACACUGGAGCUUAUACUGUGGAUAAGGUGGUGAAGAAAUAGAAAUCAUACCAGUUCUCAAAAGGUGAAAAAUAGGCAAGUGAACAUACUUAACUUCAUUAGAAUUUUAAUAGAUGCUCGAAAGAGUAGGAGGUUGUUACAAAAGCAUAUAUGAUGGGGGCCUCACCUAGUCUGCGGCUUUUCAGAGGUAACUCCCUCAAGCAAGGUAUUUUUCAGCUAAUGCUUGAAGUUUUUAUAGAAAUCAAAAGAUAAAUGGCAAGAGGUGCAGAGGGGCCUUUAAACAUAGGGAACAGAAUGUGCAAAGGUCCAGUGGUGAGAGGAGAACAUUUUCAAGGAACUAAAAGAAGGUCAUACAGUGGUACAUCCUAUUUGUGGGGAGACUUUCCAAGAUCUCCAGUGGAUGGUUGAAAGUGCAGCUGUACUAACCCUACAUAUAAUAUGUUUUUUCCUACGAUACAUACCUAUGAGGAAGUUUAAUUUAUAAAGUAGGCACAGUAAGAGAUGAACAACUCUUAAUAGCCAAUAAUAAAUAGAACAAUUAUAACAAGGUACUGUAAUAAAGGUUAUGUGCAUGGGGUCUUGGUCAAAAUACCUUACUCUGCUCUACUCACCCUUCUUUUUCUUGUGAUGACGGGAGAUGAUAAAGUGCCUCUUUUACUAUGAUUUGCAAUAUUGAAAAAUCCGUGACCUAGAAGUGUAAAACAAAAUGAAAUUCAACCUAUCCAAUAUCAAGAGAAAGAUCUUUCAUAUUAACACACAUAACGACUAUUGAUCUCCAGAGAACCUAUGUGUCAGGGAUUAGAGGCUAACCGAUCUCAUCACGUCAUACUAUCAAAUCUGUACGUGGAGGACGCUGUAAUCCACAACCUUCUGGAAAAGAGCCUGCGACGCCAAGAGGAGGUAACAGACCCUACAUGACACAGACAGAAAGUGGGAAGCCUGGAGCUCACGCUCAGGUCUCGGGCUCUAUGGUUCUCAUUCACCCCUUAGUGUGCUGUGAGCCUAAUGAAACAAUGGAGCUGUAUUUGGGGCUGAAGAAGUGGAUGAUGAUCUCCACAUUCAGAUACAAGAGUACUAAUGGGAAUUUACUCUCUUUUCUAAUUAAUUGAGAAAAACAUGUCAGAAGAGAUGAAAAUUUUGAGUUAAUUGGUUCAGGGAAAUGAGAUAACUUGAUUGAGCAAGAGUAUGGGAUAGCCAGUAGAUGUUUAUUAGAGAGGGAAAUGAGCCUCACCUAGAGUCCUGGGGAGAGUCCUGGCGGGCUGGGCCUGAAAAGCAUGGUUUCCGCAGAAGGGAAAGAGUGGAGACAAGAUUGCAAAAGGAGAUACUCAGCCAUGAGAAACUGUUUGUGGCAACGUGUGCUUUGCAAGUCUGCCUUCCUGGCAAACUUGAGUUUACAUCAUCCAUCUAUCUCCUUGCUUUAUUAACUCACUCACUUUCUUCUUGAAUUCCAAAAGCAGAUCUGAUUGUUUGCUACAUAACUUGCACGCCUCUAGGUGCUGGCCAUAUAAAGACAUAGUGGCACACCCUUUCCCCUCAUAGAGCUGUUUUAUUUUUUUUAAGUACAUUCAAUUGCGGAGCCCAACGUGGGGCUUGAACUCACUGAGAUCAAGACCUGAGCUGAGAUCAAGAGUCAAGCCCUUACCUGACUGAGCCACCCAGGUGGCCCUUUCGUCAUAGAGUUUUACAUCCAGGGGACAGCACAGAACCAUAAACCAGAACAUGUAAUCUUAUAUGACAAGUCCUAAAAUAGCUGCUGAGGGUGAUUCGGAGAUAUGGCAGGNGGGGGGGGGGGGGGGGGGUGGGGGGGGGGGGGGGGGGGGGGGGGGGGCGGGAAUAUUAAGAAGUCAGAAGGAGUAUUUUUCAAGAACUCAGUCUUAAAGAAUGGGAAUUAAAUGGGUAGAAGAGAUUAAAAAGGUUUUAAGUAAAGGGGUGCCUAGGUGGCUCAGUCAGUUAAGCGUCCGACUCCUGGUUUCCACUCAGGUCACAAUCUCGCGGGUUGUGAGUUUAAGCCCCACCUCAGGCUCUGCGCUACAGUGCAGUACCUGCUUGGGAUUCUCUCUCUCCCUCCCUCUCUCUGCCCCUCCCCUGCUCAUGCUCGCUCUCUCUCUCUCUCUCUCUCUCUCUCAAAAUAAGUAAAUAAAACUCAAAAAAAAAAUGUUUUCAGUGAAGAGAAUGAUAUCUGGGAAAUUCUUGAGGACAGAGGCAAAGAGUUUGAUAGGACCAGAGCAGAAAAUGCUUGUGGGCUUGAAAUGAAAGAUGAGACAAAAGAAGCAGGCAGGUGCCAUGUCACAUGAAGGAGCUUGGAUAGCAAGCUUUGAGAGAAACCACAAAGCUCUGGGAAGCCACCAAAAGAUUUAAAUCAGCAGAGUGAUAAAAUCAGAUACAAGCCUAGUAAAGAUCAUUUUGGAUGCAAUGUGAGAAGAAGACAGGAGGAAGUCCAGGCAGGAGGCAUGGAGACCGGUUGGAAGGCUGGUCCCAAAACUGAGUGAUUGGGCAAAUGGUUAUGGAUGUGGGAACACAGGACAAGCAGUAGACUGGAUUAGAGAAAACGAGUUUCUCUCCCAAUUAUUUUUCCACAAAUUCCCAUCAUCUCUUCUUUAACAUAUUAAUAAGGAGAAGGAAAAAAAUAUAUAUAAUUGGUCAAGAAUGGAUUUGGUUAUUCUUGUGCUUAUUUUUUGGCCCCAAUCUGAAUGUAAGCUUCCAGGGGACUGCGUUUGUUGUAAAUCCACAGAUGCAGGAGACCUGAACUCAGAGGGACCCUGGCGGGCAAUGUUCUCACCCCGUUCCCUCCAGUCUCCACUCCUCAAGAUUUCAAAAUAUAGGAAGGCACUUCUUCACGGUGACUUCAUGAUGAUCUUGGAUGGGUAAAAACCUAAGCCUCUGUCAGGAAUAAAUGAACUCAUUAAGAAUAUGGUUUUUACUUCGGUGCACUUACCUUUUGCCAAGUAGUGUCUGUUACGCCCAGAUUCACAUUAGCAGGCAGCAUGAAGGAGAGAAAAGCAAAGCAUCCACCACUUUGGAAUGGAUUUCUUACCUUCUUCACUGCGGAUAAGGGGCAUUAUUGAUCUGAUUCGGCUAGGUCAAUUAGCAGAGCAAACAGAUUCCUAGACUGGAGAAAAAGCUAAAUGACUUUUGUCCUUGACCUAGAGAAAUUACCUGGGCAACCAGAACUUCCGUUUCUAUGUCUCCUAAAUGAGCCUGGUAAGUGGUAUACUAUCCAAAAGAGUGAGUCUCGAGCCCAGCAGAUUUUGAUGUGGUUUGGGAACCACUGCUCCAUGUAUAAAGAUCGUAGGGAGCUUUUGAAAGCGGAUAUAUUUUAUCUGGGCUCCCUCCCUCAGAACGGGAUAAGCACAACCUAAUGUGAGAUUCAAGCAAAAUGUAAAAAUAUCUCCAUAAAUGAAUGUUAGUGGUUUCAGGAAACUAUAAUGCUGCUGUAAUAAAUAAUGCUCGAUAACAAAAAUACUUGGUUAUUUCAUAGUAUUAGUUGCAUGAGGAAACAGCCUUAAUUAUAGCACUUUCGUUUUCUUCUUGUAUAGCAAGCAGGAGUCUCUGGUAGCAAACAUAAGAAGCCAACUCUACAAUCUAAGGAGAAAAUAAAACUUGUGGAAGGUCACGGGGGUGACUCAUGGGAAUGAAAGGUAAGGUGAGAACAAAGCCUAGAAGACUAGAAACAUUUGACUCUAGGGACGUGGGUAGUAGGAACCAACAGAAGUCUCCAAAGGGGGCAGUUGGAAAAAGUAAAAUUCUUAUCAAAGCCAGUGCUGUUAAAAAUGAUGUUCAGGGAGUAACGAGCCGGCAGAAAAAGGAGCGAUGUUUAAGAAGAAAACGUGCUUUAGAACUUCUGAGAAGCAGUCAUUCAAAAUGCAUAGACUUUAGUUCUUCAGUUAGUGUUGAUCCCUUGAUGAAUUAUACUCAUUUAAACCUGGAAAGAGCCCAACAAAUAUUCUAUAUAAAGAACAUACCUUAGAAGAAGACAGCAUGAGGAAUAGUAAUAAUGUUUUAAACCUGGCGGUGCUACCUUGAUUCCAGCAAAGUAAUGAAAGAACAAAAAACAAAGAGGAAAAAAAAAAAGAAACAGGUUGAGUUGUGCGAUGAUAAACUUACCAAGGCCUCACAAGUCACACUAGGUCAGGGAGGGGAGGGCAGUGAGGAGAAGGAGGUGGAAGACGAGGAGGAGGAAGAAACCUACCUUUUAAGUGGUAAAAUAAAACUUAAUUUUGGCAAAAUUUAUAAUGAACUAAAAUUUAGUUCCUUUCAAUGUGUGUCAAAUUUUCUUAAAAUAAAUGCCCUUACAGGGCCAUGAAUGAUAUCCUGCCCCACCCAAUGGAUAAUUUGACUUAACAGCUGUUUAGUUCAACAACAUUUUCAGACAAUAAUUCACAUCACACUUUAGUGUUCAUUGUCACCGAAUUGAAUCCAGAAGUCUUGAUGAUAUGAUGAUAGAGUUUAUAGGACCAAUUGUAUGAAAUGAAGCGUGUCAUUUUCCUAACACCACAGGAAGAAGAGUCUCUUUCAUUGUGAGACCUCGCGCUCAGUCUUACGUUUAUUAACCUUGUAGGUUUAGGCAAUCAUUCUGACCUUUUUACGUUUCAAUCUCAUCAUACAAAAGGAGACUAUUACCUUAUUACCAACCCUGCUUAUCUCAUAGGAUUGUGAAGUACAUGGGGCACAAUGAUUGACGGUAAAAUCACUUUGCAGAUUCUACAGCACCUUGUGAAUGCAAGGGUUAAUUGUAGAUACUUUGACGUAUUACUUAGUAGUAAGCUUCAGGAAAAGAAUUGUAAUGUUUUGGAUUUCUUGACUAGAGGCCGUAAAAGCAACAGUCAGAGAAUUCACGUACAUCACAACCUUUUGAAGCAACAUUUCACAAGCCAAAACAACUUUCUGUUUGUUUGUUUUGAGACAGAGAGAGUGUGAGCAGGGGAGAGGCAGAGAGGCAGAGGAAGAGAGAGAAUCUUAAUCUCCGCACUGAGUGUGGAGCCCUGUGCGGGGCUCGACCUCAUGACCAUGAUAUCAUGACCUGAGCCUAAAUCAAUAGUCAGACACUUGACCAACUGAGCCACCCAGGUGCUCCCAAAACAGCUAUUUUGAAGAGUUAACUUCAAGGUGCUAAAUUUAUAUCGUAAACCUUAAAAAGUAGUCAUUUAUGUCUGUGAUAUAUGUAUCUCUAUACACCAUUUCUUUUUGAAGGCCAAUGUGAAACAUCACUAAAAAAGGCUGCAGUUGCAACACCACCUUUGAUAUGACGGCACAUGAGCAUAAUUAAUAUUGCAUACAAAUGCCGUCCCUAAGUAUUAGAUAGCGAGCUCACUGCCGAAUUGUUCUGCAAAUGAUAGGGUACGUUUCUUUUAGGUUAAAUCACUGGGAAUUUUUUUAAUUGCCCUUUAAUAGAAAUCAUACGAUAUUUUUAGCCUAGAGAAAACAGAGUCUGUGGGAACCACCUUCUCCCACCCAUGUCUUGGCAGUGGGAACUAGUGUCUCAGAUCAAGACUAUUUACUGAUCCCCAUGGUAACAAUGUGCUCUUUCUUGCAUAAAUCCUAAUAUCAUAAGGACCUAAUGGUUCUUUAGUAUGGCAUCUCAACCCCAAAAUAACUAUGCUGAUGUGAAAUAUAAAUGCUCUAAAUAGAACAUUUUUUUUAAAUUAAAAGUUAAAAACUAUUGCUAUGAUGCUAGAAAGUUUGAUGUAGCCUUUUCAGUAGAAAACGAACAUUUUGGAAUGAACCCUCUGCCAUUUCUGAGUAUGGACGCUGGACGUUCAAAGAAGUGAUUGAGUUGGGCCUUUUAAUUUGUUACUUGGCAGAGGAUCAUGCAGGCAGGAGCAAUGUUGGGGUUGGGGCUCUGAAUAAUGUCCCCAUACCCAUGCAGCAACAGUCCGUGAAGACACUGCCCGGGUGCAUGGGCUGCCGGGGUUUAGAGGUCAUUACCCUCUUGUUUUCCAGGCUUAACCAGAAAUUAAAUCCCUAAAAGCUUCACCUACCCUGAGACCUGCUUACUCCAAGGUUGCUAGAUGCAUUAAAGCACACUGGCUAAGAUUUCAAACAACAAGAAAGAUUAAUCGCUUUGGGAUCAUCAAAAGAAAAAUGCUGUACGAAUACCAACAAAUGGUAUAUAAAAUAUAUCUAUUUUAUCUCCUGGUCAGACCUGACACCUUUAAGCCUCCAGGAUUACACGCCCGUGUUAAUAAAAGUAGUGUUCUAUGGAACGGACUUCCUUCCAUACGACGACAUUAUAAUUUUGUUCAAGACAGUGUAGGUGGUGGUGGAGAUAAUUCUUUUUUUCCUUUUGACAGCUUCCCCUCUGAUGUUUCAAAUGCAUUACUGUUUUCAAGGGCUUCAUGGAACAAAUAAAGUCACUUGGCAUUGUCACGAAGAGGAGCGUUUCGAUACUCUGGACCCAAAGAUUGUACUCCAAAUAAUGUGCUUCUUCCCUUGGCAUUAUAAAAGCAACCAGAUGAAAAAGAGCGUUGCACAUCUGAGUGUAGAAAGCAGAGAAGAGCUACAGCAAGGGUAAAGGCUGCCGAGGCUCCAGGUUGACUCCCCGGGUCUUAAAAUAAGUGGUUUUUUUGUUUGUUCUUGUUUUUGUGUUUUUAACUGAAAACAUCUAAUGAGAAUGCUAGCUGGGAAAGAUCGGGUGAAGGAACAAGUGAAUGUUAAUCCCCACUGAGGUCAGGAACUUUAUUUUAUCAGCGUUUGCAUUCCAUGUGGUGAUUGGCCCAUCAAGACCUUACACAGAUAUAGGCACAAAGGAAAGAAGGGAAAGAUUUAUGAACCAUCAAGUGGUCAUUUUUGUAAUAUAAACAGGAGGAAGAUUUUUAUUUUAAAAAGUGCUAUUAUUAAGAUAUCCUCCACAAAGCAUACGUUUGAGGAAUAUUUCUUACGUAGUUACGUGUCUGUCUUUAUGUGUCUGUGAUAUAUCUGUGUGUGAUACAUGAAGUAUGCCUAUAAAUAAUGAGGCAUAACGAAACACAUAUUUUGAACAAAUAUUUGUGUUGAAGUGGAGUUGAAUUCAAUCAGGUUAUGCUGAAGUAGUAUUGAAAUUCAAUAUCAAAUGUCGCGAUUAUAGAUUGUUCAACAGAAAACAUUUAUUGAGCUGCUUCUACGGUCUGUAUUGAUAAAAUAACAACACUGUUAGGGACCGGGAAGAAUGAAAUCACUUCACCCACAGUCAUACAACUCCAGAAAGCAGAGAACAACUUGGCUGGCUCUUGAGGCAAUGCCCACCCAAGACCAUUUAAAGUUGAGGCAUUCUUACCUGUCCGUUGUACAAUUUGACUUUGGAAUAUAUUGUUUCUUUUUUCCUGAAGGAGCCUUUUGGUCAUUGUAAUUUCAAAUCAUGACAGCUCAGAAGCUGUCCUUAAGAAUAAGAAUAAACUGAAGAACUUUUUACCUCCUCCACGGAUAGUAUCAGCGUCUACAGAUGUAGUGUGACUGUGGCAGCAGAAAAAGACAUGACACGAGACAGGUUCUCAAUGAGUUCAGACCUGGAGCCACUAUUGAUUGUGUUUGCACUUAUUCUCAGCUGCAAUCACUCAGUCUCACAGUUGGACAACACCUCUCGUCCAAAAUAAACCUUCCAUUCUUGAUUGCUCCGUAUCAGGCAGCUGCCAUUUCCAGCUGUUUCUUGAUCAGAACACAUUGCUUUAACAUUUGCCUCUUUAUGUGCUUGAAGCAAAUGAACAAGCCCAGGAAUAUUUGGAGACAUUUUAUGACACACACCAGUGUUAUUUGACUCUGCAACAAGUUAAAAACAGAUCACAAUGACUAAUGCCGACAUGGAAGAAUGGUUGUUUCCACUUACCUGUGUCUGUGGAUAAGAAAUAUGUUGAGUUUUUUGGACCAGAGAGUCUCUCCUUCCAUCAUGGUUAAAAUUGCACAUGCAGGAUGAAAAGACUGGAGAAAAGCAGAAUGAUUUACUGAACUUGUUGCCUUCAGAAAGCAAUCUCAUUAAAGUAGCUUGUAGGUAGUCUGAAAGUAUCUCAAAUAAAAUAAGCUCCAUUUUGGAGAAAUA
Molecule: long non-coding RNA, 12282 nt
Filed under: Lynx pardinus (Iberian lynx)
Lineage: Eukaryota; Metazoa; Chordata; Mammalia; Carnivora; Felidae
Source: RNAcentral